UUCGUCGGCAGCGUCAGAUGUGUAUAAGAGACAGUUAAAAAGCUCGUAGUUGGACUUCUGGUUUAAUGCACCUGGCCCGCGGCCCACAAGGCCUGUGCUAUAACUGAAGUAAUGAUUGAUAGGGAUAGUUGGGGGGUGCUAGUAUUGGCCGGUCAGAGGUGAAAUUCUUGGAUUCGGUCAGACUAACUUAUGCGAAAGCAUUCACCAAGGAUGUCUUCUUCUGUCUCUUAUACACAUCUCCGAGCCCACGAGACGCUAACUGAUCUCGUAUGCCGUCUUCUGCUUGAAAAAAAAAAAAAAAAAA
RNAcentral lists this ribosomal RNA (304 nucleotides) under uncultured Glissomonadida. Its description in RNAcentral is "partial 18S ribosomal RNA". The stretch from base 99 to 221 matches the Rfam family "Eukaryotic small subunit ribosomal RNA", at positions 852 to 974 of the family's 1831-position model. Lineage: Eukaryota; Cercozoa; Glissomonadida. The record is from RNAcentral.